GGGUCAUGGAAUCUGGAGACUGGAGAGGGGAAAGGAAAAUGGAAUUCCAUCAUAUCGGUGAAAUGCGUAGAGAUAUGGAGGAACACCAGUGGGGAAGGUGACUUUCUGGUCUGUAACUGACAUUGAGCCCGAAAGCGGGGGGAGCAAACAGGAUUAGAUACCCUUUAGUCCCCUCCCUGAACGAUAAGACGUGUGGUUUUGGGGUGCCCCCUUUCAGUGCUGGAGUCACGCAUAAGCUUCCGCCUGGAAUUACGGCC
This 257-nucleotide ribosomal RNA is filed under the name bacterium FA_152. RNAcentral describes it as "partial 16S ribosomal RNA". It matches the Rfam family "Bacterial small subunit ribosomal RNA", at positions 622 to 887 of the family's 1533-position model. The record is from RNAcentral.